RNAcentral lists this ribosomal RNA (325 nucleotides) under uncultured eukaryote. RNAcentral's name for it is "partial 18S ribosomal RNA". It matches the Rfam family "Eukaryotic small subunit ribosomal RNA", at positions 1470 to 1796 of the family's 1831-position model. The record is from RNAcentral.
CCCUUAGAUGUUCUGGGCCGCACGCGCGCUACACUGAUGCAUUCAACGAGCCUAUCCUUGACCGACAGGUCCGGGUAAUCUUUGAAUCUGCAUCGUGACGGGGAUAGAUUAUUGCAAUUAUUAAUCUUCAACGAGGAAUGCCUAGUAGGCGCAAGUCAUCAGCUUGCGUCGAUUACGUCCCUGCCCUUUGCACACACCGCCCGUCGCUCCUACCGAUUGGGUGUGCUGGUGAAAUGUUCGGAUCGGCCGUUUGUCGCGGUUUCCGCGUCAUGUGGCUGAGAAGUUCAUUAAACCCUCCCACCUAGAGGAAGGAGAAGUCGUAACA